Molecule: ribosomal RNA, 253 nt
Filed under: uncultured bacterium
Lineage: Bacteria
Description: partial 16S ribosomal RNA
Rfam family: Bacterial small subunit ribosomal RNA
Source: RNAcentral
UACGGAGGGUGCAAGCGUUAUCCGGAUUCACUGGGGUUAAAGGGUGCGUAGGGGGAGUGGUAAGUCAGUGGUGAAAUCUCCAAGCUUAACUUGGAAACUGCCGUUGAUACUAUCAUUCUUGAAUAUCGUGGAGGUAAGCGGAAUAUGUCAUGUAGCGGUGAAAUGCUUAGAUAUGACAUAGAACACCGAUUGCGAAGGCAGCUUGCUACACGAUCAUUGACACUGAGGCACGAAAGCGUGGGGAUCAAACAGG